This 5752-nucleotide long non-coding RNA is filed under the name Sus scrofa (pig). Its description in RNAcentral is "lncRNA (ENSSSCG00000056870.1)". Lineage: Eukaryota; Metazoa; Chordata; Mammalia; Artiodactyla; Suidae. The record is from RNAcentral.
GUCUGUGAGUCUGUUUCUGUUUUGUAAAUAAGUUUACUUGUAUCAUUUUUAUAGAUUCCACUUAUAAAUGGUAUCACAUGUUUAUCUUUCUCUGUCUGACUUACUUCACGUAGUAUGAUAAUCUCUAGGUCCAUCUGUGUUGCAACACAUGGCAUUAUUUCAUUCAUUUUUAUGGCUGAGUAAUAUUCCAUUGUAUAUGUGUACCACACCUUUAUCCAUUCCUCUAUCAAUGGACAUUUAGGUUGCUUCCAUGUCUUAGCUAUUGUAAAUAGUGAUGCAGUGAACAUUACUGUGCAUGUAUCUUUUUGAAAUAGGUUUUCUCUGUAUAUAUGCUCAUGAGUGGGAUUUCUCAAUCAUAUGAUAGUUCUAUUUUUAGUUUUCCAAAGAACCUCCGUACUGUCCUCCACAGUGGUUAUACCAAUUUAUAUUCCCACCAGUAGUGUAGGAGGAUCCCCCUUUCUUCACAUCCUCUCCAGUAUUUAUUGUUUGUAGACUUGUUGAUGAUUGCCAUUCUGUCUGAUGUGAGGUAAUACCUCAUUGCAGUUUUGAUUCACAUUUCUCUAAUAAUUAGUGAUGUUAAGCAUCUUUUCAUGUGAUUUUUGGCCAUCUGUCUAUCUUAUUUGGAAAAAUAUCAAUUUAUAGCUUCUUCCCAUUUUUUGAUUGGGUUGUUUUUUGUUUUUGUUUUGUUUUGUUUUUAUAUUUAGCUGCGUGAAUCAGUUGUAUGUUUGAAGAUUAAUAAUCCUUUAUCGGUCUCUUCAUUUGCAAAUAUUUUCUUCCAUUCUGUAAGUUGUCUUUUUGUUUUGUUUAUGAUUUCCUUUACUAUGCAAAAGCUUUUAAGUUUAAUUAGGUCCCAUUUGUUUAUUUUUGUUUUUAUUUUCAUUACUCUAAGUGGUGAAUCCAAAACAAUAUUGCUGUGAUUUAUGUCAAAGAAUUUUCUGCCUAUGUUUUCCUCCAAGAGUUUUAUAGUAUCCAGUGUUACAUUUAGGUCUUUAAUCCAUUUUGAGUUUAUUUUGUGUAUGGUGUUAGAGAAUAUUCUAAUUUCAUUCUUUUACAUGUGGCUGUCCAAUUUUCCCAGCACCAUUUAUUUUAAUGGACUGUCUUUUCUCCAUUGUAUAUUUUUGCCUCCCUUGUUGUAGAUUAGUUGACCAUAGGUGUGUGUGUUUAUUUGUGGGCUAUCUUGUCCAUUGAUCUAUAUUUCUGUUUUUGUGCCAGUACCAUACUGUUUUGAUGACGGUAGCUUUGUAGUAUCAUCUUAGGUUAGGACACCAGCUCUGUUUUUCUAUCUCAGGAUUGCUUUGACUAUUCAGGAUCUUUUUUGUUUCCAUACAAAUUUUAAAGUGUUUUGUUCUAGUUCUGUGAAAAAUGCCAUUGGUAAUUUGAUAGGGCUUACAAUGAAUCUGUAAUUGUCUUGGGUGAUAUAAUCAUUUGACAAUAUUGAGUCUUCCAAUCUAAGAACAUGGUAUAUCUUUCCAUCUGUUUGUGUCAUCUUCAAUUUACUUUUGCUAAAAAUGUUAUUAUAAGUAUGGGGGGAGGGUCCAUGUGACUCCAGUCACAAUUAGGAGCGAGAGUCCUUUGCAGAGAGGCUGGAUCUCCAUGGCCUCUUUGUCAAGGGAUAAAAAGCAGGAGUGGGGGCUUCUCCCUAAGAAAUCUUCAGGGAAAUUGUUAGGCCCUGCAGGCUGUGAAAGAUUUUGAUAGGUGAGGGUAAUUGCUGUUGCUCUAAGAAAUAGAAAUAUGGGAGUAUGUGCCAUGUCUGAGAGCCACAGAGAAGAUAGUGAUGGCUGGGGCAUAGGUAUUUUGUGUGUGUGUGUGUGUGUGUGUGUGUGUGUGUGUGUGUGUGUGUGUGUGUGUUGUGUGUAUGUGUUGUGUGUGUGGUGAUAGUGGUGGUGGUGCUUAGGAGGACAUAUGGUCUGGGAAGUGUUUGGGGGCCAGGAGUUCAGGAGUUUAAGAAAUUAGAUUGAAUGAGUUCCUGAAUUAGUCAUUUUGCUUCCUUUCUUAAUGGAUUUCAUUAUAGACAUUCCAGUUUCCCUAAGCACUGCCAUUUUUUUCUUAUUAUGAUUAGUUUGUUUGUUUGUUUGUUUGUUUUACAAUUCUUCUGUGUUCAGUUAGUGAAAGGUUGUAAGAUGGAUAGGAACAGCAAGAUUCAAUGAUUAUUUAACAAGUAAUAAACUGACUGCAGUCAAAUGUGCUUGUCAUUGGAAGCGUUAUUCUGUUAUCUGAAGCGAACAUGGCAGAGCUCGUUUAUUUAAUUAGAAGCUGUUUUUACUGGAAUCCUUCCAGGAGGACAGUGGGUGUAUUCUACAGCAUUUUAGGGCUCUUAAGAUUUCAGAGGUCUCACAGAUAGAAAUUAAAUAAAAGGGGAUAGUUAAAAUAUAACCCUGUGAACUGUUAACUUUCUCCAGGAGUAUCUGUUGAUUGCUACUUCCCCUUCAGCUGUUAGGGGAUGGAGACCUUUAUCCUCAGAACUAGGCAGAUAAAAAUUACAUUAAAAUGUACUGACUUCUUUUGGUGUUUUUCCCAGAUUUAGAAGACACACAUCUUGCCAUUUCUUGAUUAAUUAUUACAUGGAAGUUGCUGAGAGGCAAGCUUGGCUCAAUGUAAUGAAGGACUAGCAUAUGAUUGUGGAAACAUUGCCAGGCUGGGUGAGGAGGAUUUGGGUUCUAGUCUCAAGAGCACCAGUAAUUCUUUGUAAGAUCUUGGGCAGGUUGUUUCUCUUCUCUGGGUUUUGUUCUUCUCACCUGGCAAGUGAGAAGUGUAUCUUACUAUUUGCUUUUAGCAGCCACAUUCUGAAAUCCUGGGACACACUGGCAAGAAGGCUGUCCAAAGAGGAGUAGCCAGGAAAGCUAGAGCAGCAAGGAAAGUCCUGCUAAAUGAAAGAGACUUCACAUGGAGCCUUAAAAGAAGAACAAGUACAGGUGACCUGAAAGAACUUAACAAAUAUGUUCUAAACAAAUCAUUAUAGACACAUACAAAGGCUUACCUAGAUGAUGGAGGUAACAGUAGGAGGUUCUUUGGGUAUUAUUAUUUCAAGAGAAUUAAAGAGUUCAUCAAUGUGAAGAUGUGAAGUGCUAAGUGUAGACCUUCUUAUUUCUAGGAACAGCAGAGUGGGUUACUUAGACCAAUCAUCCCACUGAAAGCAACUAAAAAUACAUAUUUUUAAAGAAUCUUCUCAAAAGCAUCAAAGAGAUGACAAGAAAAUAAGGAAUUACUAGAUUAAAUAUAAAGGGAAAAUGGAAACCUAGCGAGAUAAGCAAGCAUUGUAAGUGUUUUUGAUUUGAACAUAUUUGCUGAUCCCUCAAAAUCAAAGCUUUGUGCUGGCAGUCUGAAGAGGUGAGAGGGACAGAGGGCAAAGCCCAGGCCCCACACAGUGAGGUGUAUCCUAGGAUACCCUUCCCAUAAUAAGCUGAGGCCAGAAGUGACACAGUCCCAAGAAUUACACCCUGGUUUCAAACCUCUGGGUCCUCUUCCAAUCCCAUACUACUCAAAGUGUGAUCCAUGGAUCAAAGACAUCAGUGGCAUCAGGGAACUUACUAAAAAUGCAGAUUCCUGGGGCUCACCCAAGACCAACUGCUUAUAUAGUAUAUAUACCUUAACAACAUUCUUUUUAGAAGCAAAAUCUGAAUCCUCUCAGGAGAAAUGUAUUUUCAUUGUCAGCCUCCAAGUAUUCCUGAAAUUAGUUUUUCUAAUACAAUUUCCCGUAAACAGUCCAAGAUAACAAGUCACAAAAGGAAACUAGGCUCCACAAGAAAGAACUAGCAGAAACAAUAGACAAUAUAAACAGAACUACAGAGACUGUACAUGGUGGAAUUAUUAGAUGCAGUCUAUAAAAUAAUAAUUUAUAUUCAUAAUAUAUAUGUAUGAAAAGGAUCAGAAAAAUUUUUUAAAUGACUUCAAAGUAUCUGUAGUGAAUAUAAAAUAUAAACUAUAAAAAUUUCAUAGAAGAUUUAAAACAGGCCUUAAAAAUUCUAGACAUAAGUUUUUAGCAUGAUUCCUGGCACUCAUCCAUUUGUGGAUGACUGACUUGGGGUAGUGAGUUACCUGUCAUUGAAAGUGUGUGCACAGGCUAGACAACUGGCUAUGAGGAUCAUUGAAAAGGGGAGAGCAGUGUUGACUAAGCAUUAGCCAGGUAAUACUCAAGUCUCUCUGGGGUGCAGAUACUAUAAAAUAUUUUCCGAAGAAUGGGACAUCCCCCAGUUGGCCAGGGCCCUUAGUGUUCCUUCUAACUUAACUUUUCAUGUCUGGGAUUGAGAAUCCUGCCUAAGGGUGCUAAAUCACCCACUGCCCUGGGAUAAAUAACACCAUAACUGUGUAAUAGUGGCAGAAAGAUGGGAUCACCUGUGGAUACUCCAAAUGAAACAGAGGGAGACUAUCUGGGGGACAUCAGGUGCCAUGGACUCAAGAAACGUUAGGAACUGUGGUUGAGACGGAUUAUUUGCAUACUUCUGCAUGAGUCUGCACAAGCCCUCCCUACUUUCAGAACUUUGUAAUCUUCAAAAAUAAAAUGAGGAGACACUAGUUUCUUGACUCUCUUUCCUUCUUGGUUCUGUUUAUCCUCUCUCCUUGUUCUAUUCUAACAAAUGCUCCAAAGGGAGGUCUAUGGCCACAUUUUCUGUCCACCCUCACCCUUUAUAACUCCUUCACCCUAAUUUCACUGCAUGUCAUGAGCUUGUUCAAGUUUGUUUCUCCUUUGGUUCAUCCUCCAGCUUCUCUGAUCAUCUCCUUCUUGGGGCUCUCUCUUUGGAAAUCAGUUACCAUUUGAGGCACAUAAACCAUUUAAUCUUCACAUUAAUCAUGCAAGAUAAGCAUUUUUAUUAUUCCUAUAUAACAAUAAUAGGUGUUCAUUAUAGAAAAAUUAUAAAUUACCUGUAAACCAAAAAAUAAAAUUGAAAUCACCCCAAAUUUUACCAUCUGGAGAUAACUGCACCACCGUUAAUGCUUGUUAUAUUUUCUCCAGAUUUUUUUCCCAUGAUUUUUUUGGGGCUGGGAAAUGAAAUUUUGUGCACUGAGUGUAUUUUUUUAAUGUAUUUUUAAUCAUUAGCAAGAGAUAGUGAAUCUCUUUCCAUAUUAGUAAACAUACAUGCACAAUAUAAUUUUUAAUGUUUACAUAGUUUGCUUUUAUGAACUUAUUUAACAAACCUUCAGUCAUUAGGCAUUUAAAUUAAUUCCAAUCUUCACAAUUAAAAUAGAAUCUUAAAUCUAUAUCUUUGUGUAUAUCCUUAAUUAUUUCUCCAAGAUAGAUUCCUUGAUGUGAAAAUGGAUCCAUGCUUCUGAUUUUGACAAAUUUUCCCUGCAGGAAAUUUGUACUAAUUUAGAUUCUCAACAACAAUGUGUGAAGGUGAACAUUUUCCUAUACCCUAACAUUUGGGUAUUGUUGUUUUAUUGUCUUGAUUAAUUUCACAAGCAGCCUUUUAUUGCUAUUUUAAUUUUAUCAUAAGUAAGAUAGAAUAUAGUCAUCCCUUGGUAUCCAUUGGGAAUUGGUUCCAGGACCCCUGUGGAUACCCAAAUCUGCAGAUACUCAUGUCUCUCAUAUAAGAUGGCAUACAACAGUAUUUUCCGUUAUGUUUCUUUACCAUUUGAUGUUCAUUCUUUUGUGAAUUAAACUGUUAGUAUAUUCUGUAUAUAUUAACACACUUGCACAUAGAAAAAAAAUAUUAGCAUCAUUGUUUUUGGUAGUAGCCAUUGUACAUUGCAAAUAGUUUCCCCAAAUUUGUCGUUUUCUUUUAAUCUAAUUCAAUUUUAUUAAUUUAGGCCACAC